RNAcentral lists this ribosomal RNA (327 nucleotides) under uncultured bacterium. Its description in RNAcentral is "bacterial SSU rRNA". It matches the Rfam family "Bacterial small subunit ribosomal RNA", at positions 467 to 793 of the family's 1533-position model. The record is from RNAcentral.
GUUUGACGUUAGCUGCAGAAGAAGCACCGGCUAACUCCGUGCCAGCAGCCGCGGUAAUACGGAGGGUGCGAGCGUUAAUCGGAAUUACUGGGCGUAAAGCGCAUGCAGGUGGUUUGUUAAGUCAGAUGUGAAAGCCCCGGGGCUCAACCUCGGAAUAGCAUUUGAAACUGGCAGACUAGAGUACUGUAGAGGGGGUAGAAUUUCAGGUGUAGCGGUGAAAUGCGUAGAGAUCUGAAGGAAUACCGGUGGCGAAGGCGGCCCCCUGGACAGAUACUGACACUCAGAUGCGAAAGCGUGGGGAGCAAACAGGAUUAGAUACCCUGGUAG